RNAcentral lists this ribosomal RNA (253 nucleotides) under uncultured bacterium. Its description in RNAcentral is "partial 16S ribosomal RNA". It matches the Rfam family "Bacterial small subunit ribosomal RNA", at positions 524 to 776 of the family's 1533-position model. The record is from RNAcentral.
UACAGAGGGUGCAAGCGUUAAUCGGAAUUACUGGGCGUAAAGCGUGCGUAGACGGUUGCGUAAGUCAGAUGUGAAAGCCCCGGGCUCAACCUGGGAAUUGCAUUUGAGACUGCGUAGCUAGGGUGCGGAAGAGGGAAGCGGAAUUUCCGGUGUAGCGGUGAAAUUCGUAGAUAUCGGAAGGAACACCAGUGGCGAAAGCGGCUUCCUGGUCCAGCACCGACGUUCAGGCACGAAAGCGUGGGGAGCAAACAGG